UGUCUAUCUGAUCUGAUAUUAUUCAUGUUUCAUCUGCUAAUUAAGUUUGUUUUGUCAUCAUCAAAAAGGGGGAGAUUGUAAGAACAAAAAUUGUUCUACAACAGAUUCCUUGAUUUUGAUGAUAACAAAGGAUGAAACCAAAAAUGGCACCCUAACGAAAAGUUUCUAAGUGUGCAGGGUUCUAAAGAAAGAAGGAAGAAAUCUGAUGAUGUCAUCAGAUAC
RNAcentral lists this long non-coding RNA (222 nucleotides) under Lathyrus oleraceus (garden pea). RNAcentral's name for it is "Pisum sativum (pea) long non-coding RNA (PSAT_LNC009177)". The record is from RNAcentral. Lineage: Eukaryota; Viridiplantae; Streptophyta; Magnoliopsida; Fabales; Fabaceae.